UCAGGAUGAACGCUAGCGGCAGGCUUAACACAUGCAAGUCGAGGGGCAUCGGGAGUAGCAAUACUUGCCGGCGACCGGCGCAAGGGUGCGUAACGCGUGAGCAACAUGCCCGUAUCAGGGGGAUAAUCCAUGGAAACGUGGUCUAAUACCCCAUAGUAAUUAUGUAAGGCAUCUUAUAUAAUUUAAAGCUUUGGUGGAUACGGAUUGGCUCGCGUGACAUUAGCUGGAUGGUAAGGUAACGGCUUACCAUGGCUACGAUGUCUAGGGGUUCUGAGAGGAAGGUCCCCCCACACUGGAACUGAGACACGGUCCAGACUCCUACGGGAGGCAGCAGUGAGGAAUAUUGGACAAUGGAUGGAAAUCUGAUCCAGCCAUGCCGCGUGCAGGAAAAGACGGCCCUAUGGGUUGUAAACUGCUUUUGUAUGGGAGCAAUAAGGGCUACGUGUAGUCCGAUGAGAGUACCAUACGAAUAAGCACCGGCUAACUCCGUGCCAGCAGCCGC
This 502-nucleotide ribosomal RNA is filed under the name uncultured bacterium. RNAcentral describes it as "bacterial SSU rRNA". It matches the Rfam family "Bacterial small subunit ribosomal RNA", at positions 24 to 518 of the family's 1533-position model. The record is from RNAcentral.